GUAGGUGGCAAGCGUUGUCCGGAAUUAUUGGGCGUAAAGCGCGCGCAGGCGGUUCUUUAAGUCUGAUGUGAAAGCCCACGGCUCAACCGUGGAGGGUCAUUGGAAACUGGAGAACUUGAGUACAGAAGAGGAAAGCGGAAUUCCACGUGUAGCGGUGAAAUGCGUAGAGAUGUGGAGGAACACCAGUGGCGAAGGCGGCUUUCUGGUCUGUAACUGACGCUGAGGCGCGAAAGCGUGGGGAGCAAACAGGGAUUAGAUACCCUGGUAGUCCACGCCGUAAACGAUGAGUGCUAGGUGUUAGGGGGUUUUCCGCCCCCUUAGUGCUGCAGCUAACGCAUUAAGCACUCCGCCUGGGGAGUACGGCCGCAAGGCUG
RNAcentral lists this ribosomal RNA (374 nucleotides) under uncultured organism. Its description in RNAcentral is "partial 16S ribosomal RNA". It matches the Rfam family "Bacterial small subunit ribosomal RNA", at positions 527 to 896 of the family's 1533-position model. The record is from RNAcentral.